AGCAAACUCAAAUAUAUUUAUUAUCAUGGUGUCCAAGGCACAAAAGCAUUCAGAGUCUUACAGUGUUGCAAAAAGAAAAUCUCUUACUACUUCUCCAUGUUUCUUGGCAAUGUACUGGCACUGUUGGCUUUGGAGGUGCUCACAGUAGGUAAUUCUUACAGUGCUGAUCUCACCUUCCUGGAAUCUCACUGAAUAGUGUCUCAGGCCUCUGGCUGAGACAUUCUAGUUCCAGCCAUGAUAAUAAAAUCCAUGAGAAAUUAAAGAAUUGAAAAUAAGGUAAUUUGGACUCCUCCCUCCAGUUAGCAGCCAUCAGAGCUGGUGUCAGGGCAGAGUGUUCCUGCAUGAAAAGGAUGUCACCCAGCUUAUAAACUGCCUCAAGACUCUUGCCCAUUUUCCUAAUCACAGAGGACGAGACAAAGGUCAGAUCCUUUUAGGUCUCUCCAUGCCUGGGCCAUCUGCAGAUGUAGGGAAAUAAAAAUAGAUUCACAACCUUAAUUCUUGCUCAUGAUCAAAUGUGGGCCACAAAUACUUCAUCACUCUUUGUCUACUUAUCUGCUCUAUUGAAGGCACAAGGGGUGUUUUGGCUUCUGGCAGAUGAACCAGCCAAACCAAAUUAUCAAAAUAAUUUUGUGAAAAAAGGAUCUUAAUACAUGGAAUUUUUUAAUGCUAUGAACAUUAAAAACAAAUAGUCAGAAAUUAUUCCCAGAUUUUGUUUUCUGUGCCACAACCCUGCAGUGCCCCAGAAAAGGAAACUUCAAGCAGUCGAUCAGCUUUGCAGCCCUGGCUUAAUCUGCCUGUUACCAAUCUACCUCCACAGGGCCCAAGGAGAGAUUAAAUACCACCAGUUGGAAGUUGGACCUGACUGGAGUGCACUGCAAGACCUUUGGAGAAUCUGACAGAGAAAUAUGUUUUGUGAUAGCAUCAAGAUUCCCAGUCACAAAAUGUCCAUUGAAACAGCAUUUUCCAUUUGCACAGAGGAUGAAAACUGACCUAAUAUGGAGGUCAGGACCAAACAUGAAAAAACCCCCAAAGAUUAAGCUGCCUUUUAAUAAAACUGACAGUAAAUACAAUUAAGGUGAUAAGCUUAUUUCACUGGUGCUUAAAGAAUCCUUUACUUGGUAUGCAAAGAGGAAGAAGGCACAAAAGGUUAAAGAAUGCUUUUAUUCAGCUUUCACAGUUCUAAACAGUAAACAUAAUUAACAAUACACCAAUGGUAUCAGAGAACAUAGUCCUGGUAUCAGUAAAACAUCUACUGUUUAAGGCACUGGUAGUGGGAAGAAAGAAAGACAUAACAUGGAUUGUUCUUUCUUAAUCAGAAUUUGAAUCUAUUAUGAAUAUGUGCUUGCUAUUCAAUGCUUAGAAACCCACAAGCUACAUUCACAAACAAAUGUUUAUACAAGUUCCAUAAUUAGAGAGACAGGAAUCAGUGGCUCCCUUACUUUGACUCUAGAGCAAGUAUUGCUUUUCUUUGGAGUGGAAUCAAUUUUUAGCCUACUAAAAGAAACCAAAACACAAAUUACUUCAGCAGUAUGGCUUUAAGACCCUGUGUUUGGUUACAAUAUAGCAAGCCAAGUUAAAUAACAGCAUACAAGUGCCAUAUACUGUCAUUUUAAAAGAAGCAGUUUUAUAAUAUAAAAAUUAGUUUAGAACAUACUAAACCCAGUUUUUGUACAAACAUUUUUACAAAACUGAAUUGCUAAAAAAACAUUCAAGAACAUUUUAAAUAUGAAUCACACUUUACAUGUUGUAUGCAUAAAAUUACUUAUCUUGAUGAUAUAAAUUAGGGAUACUACAAAAUUUUUAAAGCUGGCAUUCAUAUGCUAUUGAAAUGUACGCAUCAGAAAUACUGAAACGUUCUGCAGAAAUCUUUAAGAGAAAGAGUCACUUUUAUAUUUGCCAAAUUGAUGUACGGUGACAUCGGUUUCUAAAGGAGCCACAGUGACCUCCCGUGGCCACCUAAGAAAUCCCUGUCCUUAAGCUUUUUUUCCAUUUUGUACAUGACAUUCCACAUAAAUGCCAAUAAACUCAAAAGGUACAACA
Molecule: long non-coding RNA, 2040 nt
Filed under: Cyanistes caeruleus (blue tit)
Lineage: Eukaryota; Metazoa; Chordata; Aves; Passeriformes; Paridae
Description: lncRNA (ENSCCEG00000023600.1)
Source: RNAcentral